GGUUAUUUGUGUGUCUCAUCCAAUUCUUUGUUCAUAACACCAAGAACCUGGAACUCCCAACUUCCAAUCUGGUAACAUAUUUUGGUGAGCCAGCCAGGAGGGUCAAGCCUGCAAUACCUAAAGCUCCAGACCUGGAACCCAAAGCUCCCAUCAGUCGCUACCCUGUGAACCUGUGGAGGAUCUGAAGUACCUGUUUAAAAGGCAUCCAAAAGAUAGAAUCUAUCAAGCUACAAAUGGCUAUGUUGCCUGAAGCCCCAGACAUCAUCCUACAAGAAAUAAGUCCAGACUUCUUAAUUUCCCCCUGGAUAGAGCAGGGGUACUCCUUAAUGACUUUACGAAGUUCUUGUUUGUUAAAUGCAAGUUGGUAACUUACUUCCUCCUCCCUUAUGCCCUGUGCCACGCGAGCUUCA
Molecule: long non-coding RNA, 410 nt
Filed under: Homo sapiens (human)
Lineage: Eukaryota; Metazoa; Chordata; Mammalia; Primates; Hominidae
Description: non-protein coding lnc-NMU-3:3
Source: RNAcentral